GACGAACGCUGGCGGCGUGCUUAACACAUGCAAGUCGAACGAAAAUACCAAGCUUGCUUGGUUGAUUAGUGGCGAACGGGUGAGUAACACGUGAGUAACCUGCCCCUUACUUUCCUGGAUAACUGCUCGAAAGGGUAGCUAAUACGGGAUAUUCUGACUAGCCUGCAUGGGUUGGUUUGGAAAGGUUGUUUUUCUGGUAAGGGAUGGGCUCGCGGCCUAUCAGCUUGUUGGUGGGGUGAUGGCCUACCAAGGCUUUGACGGGUAGCCGGCCUGAGAGGGUGGACGGUCACACUGGGACUGAGAUACGGCCCAGACUCCUACGGGAGGCAGCAGUGGGGAAUAUUGCACAAUGGGCGCAAGCCUGAUGCAGCGACGCCGCGUGAGGGAUGGAGGCCUUCGGGUUGUAAACCUCUUUCGUCAGGGAACAAGGCACUGUCUUUUUGGUGGUGUUGAGGGUACCUGGAUAAGAAGCGCCGGCUAACUACGUGCCAGCAGCCGCGGUAAUACGUAGGGCGCAAGCGUUGUCCGGAAUUAUUGGGCGUAAAGAGCUCGUAGGCGGCUGGUCGCGUCUGUCGUGAAAACUUCCGGCUCGACCGGGGGCUUGCGGUGGGUACGGGCCGGCUAGAGUGCGGUAGGGGUAACUGGAACUCCUGGUGUAGCGGUGGAAUGCGCAGAUAUCAGGAAGAACACCGAUGGCGAAAGCAGGUUACUGUGCCGUUACUGACGCUUAGGAGCGAAAGCGUGGGGAGCGAACAGG
This 757-nucleotide ribosomal RNA is filed under the name uncultured Actinomyces sp. Its description in RNAcentral is "bacterial SSU rRNA". It matches the Rfam family "Bacterial small subunit ribosomal RNA", at positions 28 to 776 of the family's 1533-position model. The record is from RNAcentral. Lineage: Bacteria; Bacillati; Actinomycetota; Actinomycetes; Actinomycetales; Actinomycetaceae.